UCCCGCAAGGGAUAAGUAGAGUGGCAAACGGGUGAGUAACACGUGGGUGACCUGCCUUCGAGCGGGGGAUAACGUCCCGAAAGGGACGCUAAUACCGCAUAACAUCCUGCCUUUUAAGAGGUGGAGAUCAAAGCCGGGGAUCGCAAGACCUGGCACUUGAAGAGGGGCCCGCGCCUGAUUAGCUAGUUGGUGGGGUAAUGGCCUACCAAGGCAACGAUCAGUAUCCGGCCUGAGAGGGCGGACGGACACACUGGGACUGAGACACGGCCCAGACUCCUACGGGAGGCAGCAGUGGGGAAUUGUUCGCAAUGGGCGCAAGCCUGACGACGCAACGCCGCGUGGAGGAUGAAGACCUUCGGG
This 360-nucleotide ribosomal RNA is filed under the name uncultured bacterium. RNAcentral's name for it is "bacterial SSU rRNA". It matches the Rfam family "Bacterial small subunit ribosomal RNA", at positions 75 to 422 of the family's 1533-position model. The record is from RNAcentral.